This 274-nucleotide ribosomal RNA is filed under the name uncultured bacterium. Its description in RNAcentral is "partial 16S ribosomal RNA". It matches the Rfam family "Bacterial small subunit ribosomal RNA", at positions 523 to 796 of the family's 1533-position model. The record is from RNAcentral.
AUACGGAGGGUCCAAGCGUUAUCCGGAUUCAUUGGGUUUAAAGGGUCCGCAGGCGGGAAAAUAAGUCAGUGGUGAAAGCCUACAGCUCAACUGUAGAACUGCCAUUGAAACUGUUUUUCUUGAGUAUAGAUGAAGUGGGCGGAAUAUAUCAUGUAGCGGUGAAAUGCAUAGAUAUGAUAUAGAACACCGAUUGCGAAGGCAGCUCACUAAACUAUUACUGACGCUCAGGGACGAUAGCGUGGGGAGCGAACAGGAUUAGAUACCCUAGUAGUCC